GAUGACAUUAGGGACUGAAAUGCUGAAU
RNAcentral lists this non-coding RNA (28 nucleotides) under Homo sapiens (human). The record is from RNAcentral. Lineage: Eukaryota; Metazoa; Chordata; Mammalia; Primates; Hominidae.